This 1079-nucleotide ribosomal RNA is filed under the name Periweissella ghanensis. RNAcentral's name for it is "bacterial SSU rRNA". It matches the Rfam family "Bacterial small subunit ribosomal RNA", at positions 332 to 1404 of the family's 1533-position model. Lineage: Bacteria; Bacillati; Bacillota; Bacilli; Lactobacillales; Lactobacillaceae. The record is from RNAcentral.
CAAACUCCUACGGGAGGCAGCAGUAGGGAAUCUUCCACAAUGGACGAAAGUCUGAUGGAGCAACGCCGCGUGUGUGAUGAAGGGUUUCGGCUCGUAAAACACUGUUAUAAGAGAAGAACGUCAGUGAGAGUAACUGUUCAUUGAGUGACGGUAUCUUAUCAGAAAGGGACGGCUAAAUACGUGCCAGCAGCCGCGGUAAUACGUAUGUCCCAAGCGUUAUCCGGAUUUAUUGGGCGUAAAGCGAGCGCAGGCGGUUAUUUAAGUCUGAUGUGAAAGCCUACGGCUCAACCGUAGAAUUGCAUCGGAAACUGGAUGACUUGAGUGCAGUAGAGGAGAGUGGAACUCCAUGUGUAGCGGUGAAAUGCGUAGAUAUAUGGAAGAACACCAGAGGCGAAGGCGGCUCUCUGGACUGUAACUGACGCUGAGGCUCGAAAGUGUGGGUAGCAAACAGGAUUAGAUACCCUGGUAGUCCACACCGUAAACGAUGAAUGCUAGUUGUUAGAGGGUUUCCGCCCUUUAGUGACGCAGCUAACGCAUUAAGCAUUCCGCCUGGGGAGUACGACCGCAAGGUUGAAACUCAAAGGAAUUGACGGGGGCCCGCACAAGCGGUGGAGCAUGUGGUUUAAUUCGAAGCAACGCGAAGAACCUUACCAGGUCUUGACAUCUUUCGCUAUCUUAAGAGAUUAAGAGUUCCCUUCGGGGACGGAAUGACAGGUGGUGCAUGGUUGUCGUCAGCUCGUGUCGUGAGAUGUUGGGUUAAGUCCCGCAACGAGCGCAACCCUUAUCAUUAGUUGCCAGCAUUAAGUUGGGCACUCUAAUGAGACUGCCGGUGAUAAACCGGAGGAAGGUGGGGAUGACGUCAAAUCAUCAUGCCCCUUAUGACCUGGGCUACACACGUGCUACAAUGGAUGGUACAACGAGUCGCAAACUCGCGAGGGUAAGCUAAUCUCUUAAAGCCAUUCUCAGUUCGGAUUGUAGUCUGCAACUCGACUACAUGAAGUCGGAAUCGCUAGUAAUCGCGGAUCAGCACGCCGCGGUGAAUACGUUCCCGGGCCUUGUACACACCGCCCGUCACACCA